UCCAUACUCGAUGCUCACAGCAUAUAGGUGGCCUCCCUCCGUCGGUCGCUUUUGCUUGCCGCUGAUCUCAUCCGCUCCCAAACGAUUCCCCAUUCACCCGUAAGUCUUCCAAAUAUAACCAGUGGCAGCGGCAGAAAAUUCGUCUUCCACUACUCUGCUCUGGCUAUCUUAUCUGCAACAGAUAUUUCAGCCUGGAUUUCGAUCACUGCCUGCUCAGCUGCAUUGUUUGAAGUAACUACUGACAUUACAGGGGAUUGUUUAAACUUGGAACUAUUUUAGAUAUUCCAAUUCAUCAUGUCAGACCAUGUUGUACAGACAAUUCAUGAUAGUGAUGCAAGAGUUACAAAAUCAAUGCAUCCUUACCAAUCCAUCUGGAUGGCCCAUUGGAUGCAAACAAAUUGUGACUCAGCAGUAGAGAUUUCUAAUCAUAUCUCUCCUAAUGGUGGUAGCAAAGAAGAACGUUGUGACAGUAGGCAGGGCCCCAUUCAUGUUCAAACUUAUGAGCCUAACAAGGUCACAAGGUCAGUUGUAGAUGAGGGUCCACGCAAUAUUUUGGAGCACUUAAGUGAAUGGAGACACAGACAAAACUUAGAGGUGGAAUUUGAUGUUCUUGAAUAUGGAAAAGGAGUUGAAGCAGUAAAUGAAGCUGAAAGAGCUGUACCAAGGAACAAGACACCAAAGAUGAACUUAAGAAAUUGUAAAAAUGCAAUAUCAGGAUGCAAAUCCUUUCCAAUCUUCAAUUUCAACCAAACGAAAGAGAGUAGUUUGGAUUCAAAGAAUGAUCCAAUUGUCUAUGGCAGACACAUAUCCAGGUCUCAAUUUGAUGGAAACACAGGGCAGGUUGCUGCCAUGAAGGGCACAUGUCAGCCUACUGAAAAUACACCUCAAAUUUCUGGGCAUCUGGUGAAUUCUCGUAAGUGUCUUGAAAAGAAAAGUUUGCCUGCUUCAAGGCUGUUUAAGGAUGAUCUUAUGGAGUCAAGAUGCAAUGUUAUGCCUUAUGGUUUUAAGUCUGGUGGAACACCAGAACAGUCCUUAAGGUGCACAACAAAAGAAACUGAUUGGUCAAUCCCUGGGUUGUCAUCCAAAAAACACCUCGAAAAUGCUAAAUUUUGUCAUGAUAGACAUGAAAACCCUAACUAUGGCAGCUCUUCCACUUCUAAGCUUUUGGCCUGUGAUAAUAAGGAGAUGGAUAACCAUCUAAAUGAUAGAAAUUGUGGAAAUCAUUAUAUGGUGCCGAGGAAUGGAGCAUUGCAGAUGCAUGAUCCUUCAACUAGUGGUUUCACUCCCCCAAUUUUUAUUGGACAACAAAGUAAGAAACAUAAUUUUCCUUGUUCUGAAUUUUUAACAAGCUACGGCAGAUCUCCCGGAAAAAUGAAGUUGGAAGAGUUAAACUAUGGAUGUAGAUCACUAGAAAGAAGGCCAAGGCGUUCUAUUCAUGAUGUAGAAACUCUGAGAGUUUGCACUACUGUUGAUUCUGUGGAAGGAUUGCCUGGUGCUCCUUCCAGGUUUUCUCAGGCAACUGAACAUUUGUUGAUCACCAAAAAGACUGAUGUUAACUUGUCUAAGGGAAGCCAAAUUAUCAGAGAGUCAAUGGUAUCCACCAAAUUCAAGCAAAAUGCCUUUCAUGAAUUGUUUACAUUACCUUUUAGUUUUGGUUUGCAUGGUAAGGGAGGAGCAAAGCUUCACUCUUUAGGGAACUCCAUUUUCCAACAAAGAAAUGGCAUUCAGGAUGUCAAGACUGAUUCACUAGUUUUAAAGAAUCAAUUAUCAGCUGAAACUGAUACCAUGGACAUGGAUAUUUUUCAUGCCAGGAGCUCUCUUCCAGGUGAAGCUUCGCAUCCAUCAAAGGACGUCAUGAUGGACCAAGCUCAGGAAAUGACCGAUUCACCGAAGGAAAUUGAAAGCAUUGAGGCACAAAAAGAGUUAUUUGAUAUAAACCAAGAAGCUACUGUAACUUCAGCUGCAGCAGGUACAAUGGCCAACAGAGAGUUGAGCACAUCAAGUACGAAGAGUCUGGAUGUGGAUCACCUUCUUUCCCAUACCAAGCAGCUUGAGGAUUCAACCUUCAUUCCCCACCAAAACAGCCGUCUAGUCCAGGAGCCUGACAACAGAUGGAUUAAGCGUCUUAAGCUAAGUGCUUCAGAUUCUCCUGCUCGUGGUAACAAGAUAUCAAAAUUGGGAGAUGCAUCAUCCAGUGAUAGUAAGUUGCUUGGACCAAUUAUGAUUUACGGGAGAACCAUCUUAGAGCCCGUAUUUGGCGAAGUGAACAGGAAGGGGCAGGAGUCAGAUAAGGCCAUUAUGUUAUCAGGUAACAGAGGAUCUUCUUCGCCAGAUUUGGUGAAUGAAUAUUGGGAUCUAUCACAUUCUUGGCUUCAAAGAUGGUGUCGAAAUUAUGCAUUGGCACCAUUAGUGAAGCCAAAAUCUACCCUGGUUGGAGAAAAAAGCACCAAGAUAACUUCAGAGGAGUUCCAAAGGAAGGAAUUUCCAAGUAUUGCUGCUAUGGCACUAAUGGGGAAGACCAUGAGUAGCUUCCAUCCAUGCGAGUUCAGGAAAAAGAGAUCUUUUGUACUUUGGAAUACAUAGAGGCCCAGAGAAUACUCUAGAAUGCUUAUUGCAUGGUGGAAUAUGAACUAUUGAAAGUUCCUCCUUGAUCUUGUGAAACAAAGAAUGGAACUCAUCAGGAACUUCCAAUUACAGUGGUGAAGGUAGUUGAUCAUGUGAGGAGAAGAUAAUUUGUUUUAGUUAUCUAAAUGAUAAAAUCUCGGGCUGGGAAGCGUGAGAAUGUAGGUUCUAGUCUGAAAGUGGUCACUUUAUGCAAAAAAAAACAAAAAAAGUACCCUUAUGUUUACUAAAUAAAGCAAACUGGAAGUCGAGUGGUGAGGCCUUUGAAGCCCAUAUACUAUAUUGGCUUCUGAGAACUAGGAGUCGAAGUGGUCAGAGACACUUUCAGCUCAGGUGGUAUGCCACGGCCAUUUGUUUCAUGAGACAGCUACAUGUCACAGAACAGACUAUUUCCUCUAUUGGCAUGUGUAUACCUAAAAAUCUUGUGAUGAUACCAUUGGCAUCAUGAGAGUGCACAUGUGUAUACCUAAAAUCUUGUGAUGAUACCAUCAUUUUCCUGUGUCA
This is an RNA transcript of Nelumbo nucifera (sacred lotus), 3126 nucleotides long. RefSeq lists it as uncharacterized. Lineage: Eukaryota; Viridiplantae; Streptophyta; Magnoliopsida; Proteales; Nelumbonaceae. The record is from RefSeq and is a predicted model, not a curated record.